RNAcentral lists this ribosomal RNA (253 nucleotides) under uncultured bacterium. RNAcentral describes it as "partial 16S ribosomal RNA". It matches the Rfam family "Bacterial small subunit ribosomal RNA", at positions 524 to 776 of the family's 1533-position model. The record is from RNAcentral.
UACGUAGGGUGCGAGCGUUAAUCGGAAUUACUGGGCGUAAAGCGUGCGCAGGCGGUUCGUUGUGUCGGUGGUGAAAGCCCCGGGCUUAACCUGGGAAUGGCCAUGGAAACUGGCGAACUGGAGUGUGGCAGAGGGGGGUGGAAUUCCGCGUGUAGCAGUGAAAUGCGUAGAGAUCAUGAGGAAGACCAGUGGCGAAGGCGGGUCUCUGGACAGUUCCUGACACUGAGACACGAAGGCCAGGGGAGCAAACGGG